Molecule: ribosomal RNA, 251 nt
Filed under: uncultured Caryophanales bacterium
Lineage: Bacteria; Bacillati; Bacillota; Bacilli; Caryophanales
Description: uncultured Bacillales bacterium partial 16S ribosomal RNA
Rfam family: Bacterial small subunit ribosomal RNA
Source: RNAcentral
GCGGCGGACGGGUGAGUAACACGUGGGCAACCUGCCCUGUAGAUUGGGAUAACUCCGGGAAACCGGGGCUAAUACCGAAUAAUCCAUUUCCUCACAUGGGGAGAUGUUAAAAGACGGUUUCGGCUGUCACUACAGGAUGGGCCCGCGGCGCAUUAGCUAGUUGGUGAGGUAACGGCUCACCAAGGCGACGAUGCGUAGCCGACCUGAGAGGGUGAUCGGCCACACUGGGACUGAGACACGGCCCAGACUCC